CUAAUUUUUUUCAAUAAAAUCAGAUUUAAUUGGCAUGUAAUCAGCCCCUUUAAGCAAGUACAUGGAGUGCCCCAUCUCACAUAGGGCAGGUAGAUGGGGUUCCAACAUUUGGCACCCUUUUAGGAUUUCCUGACAUAUGAGAGAGGGCGUGGCCCCUCUCUCUCUCUCCUCCAUGCUAAGCCAUAGGAGGGGGCGGGCCCCUCUUGCCAUAUCUAGGGGGUUGGCACUCCCUGGUCUUGCCAAAAAGAGAAGAAGGCACCACCCUUCUUUCAUUCUAUUCCACACACCACUUAGAGAUAAUUAGAAAAAAAUGUAGAGAUAAUGAGAA
This 328-nucleotide long non-coding RNA is filed under the name Elaeis guineensis (African oil palm). Its description in RNAcentral is "long non-coding RNA (EGUI_LNC037087)". Lineage: Eukaryota; Viridiplantae; Streptophyta; Magnoliopsida; Arecales; Arecaceae. The record is from RNAcentral.